UACGUAGGUGGCAAGCGUUGUCCGGAUUUACUGGGCGUAAAGGAUGCGUAGGCGGACAUUUAAGUCAGAUGUGAAAUACCCGAGCUUAACUUGGGUGCUGCAUUUGAAACUGGGUGUCUAGAGUGCAGGAGAGGUAAGUGGAAUUCCUAGUGUAGCGGUGAAAUGCGUAGAGAUUAGGAAGAACACCAGUGGCGAAGGCGAGUCCCUGGACACUUCCUGACACUGAGGCACGAAAGCUAGGGGAGCAAACAGG
Molecule: ribosomal RNA, 253 nt
Filed under: uncultured bacterium
Lineage: Bacteria
Description: partial 16S ribosomal RNA
Rfam family: Bacterial small subunit ribosomal RNA
Source: RNAcentral